RNAcentral lists this ribosomal RNA (382 nucleotides) under uncultured eukaryote. RNAcentral describes it as "partial 18S ribosomal RNA". It matches the Rfam family "Eukaryotic small subunit ribosomal RNA", at positions 592 to 976 of the family's 1831-position model. The record is from RNAcentral.
UGUAAGCGUAUACCAAAGUUGUUGCAGUUAAAACGCUCGUAGUCGGAAUUUGGCAGUUCCGGAUGUGUGCACGUCGUGUGCGCACUUCGCGGGGAUUGCUUUUGUGGUCUUGCGUAGGAUGAGGCACUUUUAUUAGUGAACGUCCUCACGCAACCACUUUUUACUGUGAGAAAAUCAGUGUGCUCAAAGCAGGCAUUUGCCGUGAAUGUAUUAGCAUGGAAUAAUAGAAUAGGACUUGGUUCUAUUUUGUUGGUUUGUUGGGACUGAGUAAUGAUUAAGAGGGACAGUUGGGGGCAUUUGUAUUUCGGUGCUAGAGGUGAAAUUCUUAGAUUACCGAAAGACAAACUGCUGCGAAAGCGUCUGCCAAGGAUGUUUUCAUUGA